Molecule: long non-coding RNA, 1853 nt
Organism: Nasonia vitripennis (jewel wasp)
Lineage: Eukaryota; Metazoa; Arthropoda; Insecta; Hymenoptera; Pteromalidae
Exons: 4
Source: RefSeq, a predicted model, not a curated record
AACUACAUUGGCUUAUAUGGAAAGUUAUCCAAAACAAUUUAAUAAAAAAUUACUAUUGCUUUAAACCGACGCAAACUUUUUUGUAGGAUAAAUAUCAGUGUACUUGAUACGUAUAAAACUUUACAAGCAUUCUAAACAUCUAGGGAUUUUAUAAGAAAUAUUUGUUGUCACUUUCCCAUAUAAGCUAUGCAUGAUUUGCAACCGUUUAGUUCCGAAUACCUUCCUCUGUCUCUCUCACUCUGGCAUUUGUGGCUGCCAAGCUGCCAUCUGUUGACUGUAUCUUCCAUAUACUUAUAGUAGUAGCUAUAGGUUGAGAAAGUCCGCCAUUUUAUAUUGCUCCAGACGCGACUAUUUUGGAGUCGAGUUGGAGAAAAUCGGAGCUGCUCGCAAUUUGGAUGAAAUCAAAAUAUUUAUUUAUUAUAAUGCAUAAUAAUUAUGUGCAAUAAUAGAGGAUAGUUCACAGCCAUCAUGACCAUCGAUGUAUUAAAAAAUAACAGGAAAAAAAUGUUUCAAAUAAAAGGAACAUUUCAUCAGGUUCAUCGAAAACUGGUACUUUUGGUGGAGCUGGAGGAACCAACUUGAAAUUCUGAUUUAUCCUGGUAGCAGAUAAGCAGCUAGUCGAUGGAGAAGUGGCAGUGUAUGGUGGCUUUGCUGCAGCCCCUGGCAUACUCUUAUUCACUAAGGUCCCUGAAAAGCAGCAGAUGAACAGCUGGACGAUGAAGAAGUUGCAGUCGACGAUGCCUAUGCUGCAACCUCCGGCAUCUCCUUGGACAGAGAGGUUCCUGCAAAUGUAUAACUUUUACUACUUAGUUUUAUACAAAUUGUUCCUGCAAAUGAGCAAUGAUGCGAGUUGAUAAUGCUUUACGGUGGGCAAAAGCAGGUUUUAAAAACAACAAAUGUUCAUAGUAAGGAAAAUCAUGCUGUAUGGCAGCUGACCCUGUUCCUGCAGCAAUACUGUGUAGCGCCGCUGUUGAUUGCUAAGCGAUCCAAUUUCUUUAUAGACAAUCGCCGAGCCGCUGUCGAUCAACAGAUCCAGCAAUUAGGAGAAUAUUAAGUAGAGAGGACGCCGUCCAGCAACCCGAAAUUCCCGUAAAAUAGUUGCAUGGCGCCGUCGCCGGUCGAACGGCGGUAGCGUUACCCUCUCAACGAGCAGUAUUCGCAGUCUCGCCUUACGAAUAACCGCUGUUCGCCUCGCCAUCAAAGUAUCCCUUAUUGCGAGGAUUGUCGCGACGUUGUAGGAGAUUUUCGCGAUUUUCAGCAUACAUUCCCACUGCGAGAAAUACGACGAGGAAAUAAUGCCAGCGAUUCCCUGCGGGCAACUAUAACGACCGAACGCCAUCUUGACGGACGCCGCGUCCUUUGAGUGCGACUCCGACGCUAUUUUGGGACGAUUUAAAUACGGGAUUUAGAGUCACGGAAGCACGGAGGGUCUUGUUUGUUUACCAAUAAAAGUUUGUUAUUGUUCAUCAAACUAGUAACCGGGUAUUAUCAUGUUUAUUUUGUGAGUUAGUUUAACAGUGAGUAACAUAACGCGCCGAGUUUAAGGCGGAAUUAUCACGGGUAACCUUGUAAUCAGAUCAAGUCUGAUCCAUAAUGGGGGUUGCAGAAUAUACGAUUAUUGUUGUUCAGAAGAACCAGUAUGUAACAAGCUUUAAUUCUACACCUAUGCCACGCUAGGCAUACCUGUUCCUAGACCUACACGUUGUCCCAUUCUGUAGAUGUAAGAGUCCGCGGUACGAAGAUCGAUGUAAAAACAAGUGUAAUCUGAUUGUUUGCGUUACCGGUUCGGUUAUAAAAAGCGCAACAUCACAAUGUAAUUUAUCAAUAAAAACUAUGAAAUAAAAGAAUACAUA